RNAcentral lists this ribosomal RNA (253 nucleotides) under uncultured bacterium. RNAcentral's name for it is "partial 16S ribosomal RNA". It matches the Rfam family "Bacterial small subunit ribosomal RNA", at positions 524 to 776 of the family's 1533-position model. The record is from RNAcentral.
GACAGAGGGGGCAAGCGUUGCUCGGAAUUACUGGGCGUAAAGGGCGCGUAGGCGGCUUGAUAAGCGUGCGGUGAAAGCCCGGGGCUCAACCCCGGGUCGGCCGUGCGAACUGUCGAGCUGGAGCACUGUAGAGGCAGGUGGAAUUCCGGGUGUAGCGGUGGAAUGCGUAGAGAUCCGGAAGAACACCGGUGGCGAAGGCGGCCUGCUGGGCAGUGGCUGACGCUGAGGCGCGACAGCGUGGGGAGCAAACAGG